RNAcentral lists this ribosomal RNA (2268 nucleotides) under Triticum aestivum (bread wheat). RNAcentral describes it as "partial small subunit ribosomal RNA". The record is from RNAcentral. Lineage: Eukaryota; Viridiplantae; Streptophyta; Magnoliopsida; Poales; Poaceae.
AUGGAGGAGGACUUCGAGCGCGCGGUGGAGGACGGCCUCAGGCUCUCCAAGCGGCUCGUCCUCCCGGGCGGUGCGGCCCCGCCGCGCCCGCACGCCGGGAUGGACCGCUACGGCGCGCCGGACGCCGCCGCGGCGUCGUCGCUGCUGCCCGUGGCCCCCAUGGCGUACGCGGUCGUCACGGACCCCGCCGCCGUCGACAGCCCCGACGUGCCCAGCUACCAGCCCCACGUCUACGGCCGGCUCAGCCCGCCCGCGCUCAUCCCGCUCCAGAUGCGCGAGGUCGAGCUGCGGGUGGACUGCGCCGCCGGGUGCGCCACGGCCGAGGUCACCCUCGUCGCGCGCUGGUGGCUGCACUGCCUCACCCGCAGCCGCGACUGCGACUGCCGCCUCGUCGUGCCCAUGGGCGAGGAGGGUUCAAUUCUAGGCGCUGAGGUUACUGUUGGGAAAAAAUCGUACAAUACUCAUGUAGUUGAUGUAGAUGGUAACAGUCCUGUGAAGAUUGUUAAAACUGAGAGUGGUGGUAUUCUGAAGAGCCAGUUUUUUCAAUUGACAAUACCACAGGUUGUAGGAGGAGAAGACAUCUUUGCCACAAUUAGAUGGUCACAGAAGUUGUUGUAUGAUAAUGGACAGUUUUCUGUUGAUAUUCCGUUUCGGUUUCCACAUUAUGUGAACCCUUUACCUAAACUUUUCACAAAAAAGGAGAAAAUUCAGUUAACUGUGAAUAGUGGUGUGAGUAAAGAGGUUUUAUUGCAGGGGACCAGCCAUCCCUUGAAGGAAAAAACCAGGCAGGGUGAGAAAUUGUUUUUCUUGCAUGAAGCUGUGGUUGAGAAUUGGUCUAUCAAAGAUUUCACCUUUUCAUAUAGUGUUUACUCAGGUGAUGUGUCCGGUGGAGUGCUUGUGCAGCGCUCAACAUUACGUGACUAUGAUGACAGAGACAUUUUCAGCAUUUUUCUCUUACCUGGAAAUAACCAGAAAAGGAAGAUCUUCAGAAAGGCAGUUGUGUUUAUUGUUGAUACAAGUGGAAGCAUGCAAGGAAAGCCUAUUGAGAAUGUUAAGAAUGCCAUCUCAACUGCUGUUUCUGAGCUUGAGGAAGGAGAUUACUUCAACAUAGUAACAUUUAAUGAUGAACUUCAUUCAUUCUCAUCCUGUUUGGAGAAAGUAAAUGGCAAAACAACAGAGAAUGCAAUAAACUGGAUGAACUUAAAUUUCGUCGCCCAGGGUGGCACUGACAUCAUGCAUCCUUUAACCGAGGCAUUGGCGUUGCUGUCAAACUCUGAUGGCGCACUUCCACAAAUCUUUCUUGUGACCGAUGGUUCAGUUGAGGAUGAACGGAAUAUCUGUCGCACUGUGAAAACUCAGCUCACAAACAAAGGAUCUAUUUCCCCUCGGAUUUCCACUUUUGGACUAGGUUCAUACUGUAACCACUAUUUCUUGCGGAUGUUGGCAUCAAUUGGCAAGGGGCAUUACGAUGCUGCGUUUGAUACAGGAUCAAUUGAGGGUCGAAUACUUCAAUGGUUCCAGAAAGCUUCAUCCACAAUCGUGGCAGACAUUUCAAUUGAUGUCACAAAGCAUACCCAAGAAUUUGAAGUGGAUUGUGAAUAUAUUCCUGACAUUUCAGCAAAAUAUCCAUUAUUUGUAUCUGGAAGAUUCCGAGGUGAACUGCCGGAGACUCUUUAUGCUGAGGGCUAUUUGUCUGACAUGAGUAAGAUAUCGAUUGAAUUGAAGGUCCAACAUAUAAAGGACAUACCUCUUGACAAAGUGUUGGCAAAGCAACAGAUGGACCUUCUAACAGCAAAAGCAUGGCUUUCUGAAAACAAGCAACUGGAGCAAAUGGUGGCGAAAAUGAGCAUACAAAAUGGCAUUCCUUCGGAGUACACACGGACGGUCCUACUUCAAACCAUCAUGGAAAAAAUAGAUCCAGCACAACAGGGAAAACGGAAACCAAAGAAACCAGAGGAGCCUUCAGCGACACCGCUGCAGGGCCUGACACUCGGCUUCGGCAACGUGCCGGCGACGACGGAGAACCUAACCUCGGGGUUCGGUGACACAAGGGCGCCGGAUAAAUUCGAGAUGUUCGGGAAGGCGGUCGGCGGCUGCUGCGGCCGCGUGGCGGACAGCUGCUGCUGCUGCAUGUGCUUCAUCAACUGCUGCAGCAAGAUGAACGACCGGUGCGCCAUCGUGCUGGUGCAGAUGUGCGCCGCCCUCUCCUUCCUCGGCUGCUUCGAGUGCUGCUCGGAGCUGUGCUGCGGCGGGGGCGGCUCGGACUGA